AAGCAUUGAACGAGAAGAAACCAGCGACUAUGAAAGAUGAUGAUUAGGAGGAGCUUCAACAAAGGGUUGUGAGUAUGAUUAAAUUGACGUUAGCCCCAAAUGUAAAGUAGAAUGUCUUAGAGAAAACCUCGCUUGUUGUUUUGUGGAAGAAAUUAGAGAGUCUGUACAUGUCAAAAUCUCUCAUAAAUCAUUUGUACUUGAAGAAGGA
RNAcentral lists this unclassified non-coding RNA (208 nucleotides) under Hevea brasiliensis (rubber tree). Lineage: Eukaryota; Viridiplantae; Streptophyta; Magnoliopsida; Malpighiales; Euphorbiaceae. The record is from RNAcentral.